UUUCCGUAGGUGAACCUGCGGAAGGAUCAUUAGUGAACGCCCACACGGGCUUAUAACUGUUCCAUACCUCUCUGAACCGUGCCCUUCGAUGCUAUUUUACAAACAUGGCGUAAUGAACUUCAUAUAUCUUAACAAAACAAAACUUUCAACAACGGAUCUCUUGGCUCUCACCUCUAUGAAGAACGCAGC
RNAcentral lists this unclassified non-coding RNA (189 nucleotides) under plant metagenome. RNAcentral describes it as "partial contains small subunit ribosomal RNA, internal transcribed spacer 1, and 5.8S ribosomal RNA". The stretch from base 141 to 189 matches the Rfam family "5.8S ribosomal RNA", at positions 1 to 49 of the family's 154-position model. The record is from RNAcentral.